AUGCAAAAUGUGCUGGCCAAGUGAUCCCUUGGAAAAGCAGUCAGGCGUUGGCAAGAUAAACCGUGCUGGGCACCUUAGCCACUGCAGCUCCCUGGCUGGCUUACAGAGGGAGGAUGGAGCUGGGCAGUGCACUCUUCCCUGACACUAAAGUUCUGCCAGAUGGAUGUACUUCCAGGCGAGGUCGCUCAGUUCUGACCCUGAGUCACCAAAAGAGCCCAUGAACAAACCAGCCAGGACACCAUGGAGGAGAAGACCAAGGAAAUACCUCUUGGCCACCCAGCAAGUGAGAGGCAGGCUCAGGCAAGCUCAGCAGCAUCUUGACCCAUCACUGCACUCUGCUUUUGGAGACUUUGAUAAGGCCCUGGGGAUUGAAACCAGGAUUCAGGACAGCAGACAGCUGGCACCUCCACCCGACUCUCCUUUAGCAGAGAUCUCUCGCCAACCACAAGUUCUCUGCCCUGCCGAUUUUAAACAUAACCUCAGAGUCACUCCCAAGAAAGCCAUAUUAAUCAACGAGAACUGA
RNAcentral lists this long non-coding RNA (523 nucleotides) under Cricetulus griseus (Chinese hamster). RNAcentral describes it as "lncRNA (ENSCGRG00000024371.1)". Lineage: Eukaryota; Metazoa; Chordata; Mammalia; Rodentia; Cricetidae. The record is from RNAcentral.